GACGAACGCUGGCGGCGUGCCUAAUACAUGCAAGUUGAGCGCUGAAGGUUGGUACUUGUACCAACUGGAUGAGCAGCGAACGGGUGAGUAACGCGUGGGGCAUCUGCCUUUGAUCGGGGGACAACAUUUGGAAACGAAUGCUAAUACCGCAUAAAAACUUUAAACACAAGUUUUAAGUUUGAAAGAUGCAAUUGCAUCACUCAAAGAUGAUCCCGCGUUGUAUUAGCUAGUUGGUGAGGUAAAGGCUCACCAAGGCGAUGAUACAUAGCCGACCUGAGAGGGCGAUCGGCCACAUUGGGACGGAGACACGGCCCAAACUCCUACGGGAGGCAGCAGUAGGGAAUCUUCGGCAAUGGACGAAAGUCUGACCGAGCAACGCCGCGUGAGUGAAGAAGGUUGUCGGAUCGUAAAACUCUGUUGGUAGAGAAGAACGUUGGUGAGAGUGGAAAGCUCAUCAAGUGACGGUAACUACCCAGAAAGGGACGGCUAACUACGUG
RNAcentral lists this ribosomal RNA (497 nucleotides) under uncultured bacterium. Its description in RNAcentral is "partial 16S ribosomal RNA". It matches the Rfam family "Bacterial small subunit ribosomal RNA", at positions 28 to 507 of the family's 1533-position model. The record is from RNAcentral.